CCUCCCUCCCGCGGGAGGCGGUGGGUGGACCCUGCCCGGGCCGCCGGACCUCGCGUCCACGGUCGCGUGCAUGCGGGGCUGGUGGGGCCCGCGGACAGCGCGUGCACCGGAGCCGCGCUUCACCGCAGCGCACCGAGGGCCCAGGGCGCGGCGGGUCCCACGCGUCUCCCGCCCCGCUGUCUGCUCUCUGCCUCGCGCGCCCGCUGGGACCUCGUGCCGCCCCAAACCCAAGCGGGGGCCGACUGGGUGCAAGGCUGGGCCAGAGGACCUGGAGGCGGCCCCGCGGACGCGGAGUACAGGCGAGGAGGUCAGUCUGCCCCUUACUCCUGUACACCGCUUCUCCUAGUUGUCCUGGCAGGAGGCUGGACGCGAGGUCCAGCCUGUCCCUGGCUGCAGCCCUGGUUGGAGUCAGCGGGGUGGGAAGGAGCCCAGGGAGGAGGGAAUCCACCACCGGGGUGCCGCAGCCUUCCAGGUAGUGUUGCACAGGACCUCCCUGCGUGCUCCGUGAUUUCACCCCAUUUUAUACAUGAACAAUGGCCCCGGCGAUCAAGGUCAUUCAGCUCUGAGUGACCAAGUCCAGCUGCGAAUACGAACGGGGGACUCAGGGUCAUUGCUCUUCACCCUCACUGAGUCCCUCACUGACCAUCACAGGCCUUAUCCCGGGUUGGGUCUCCCCCAGCCAGGCAACCACCUGUGCCCUCAGCUCACCCUCGACCUGGAGGGGGGCCAUGUGAGGGCCAGUGGCUGCAGGGGGCUCUGAGGGGCAAAGGCUUGGUGGGCUCCCUGGGGGGGGGGAAGGCCCUAGGGAGGCUGGAGUGGGGUGAGGGGCACACACUGGGGCCGGCAUCUGGACCACAUCGUGCAGGGCUCUGGAUGUUGGGCCAGGAGUCGGGGGUCACUGCAGGUUGGGGGUUCAGAGGACACAAUCGGGGCAGUCUUACCAGAGCCACAGCAUCCCAGAUUUGGAGGGAGCUUGUGGGCGUGUUAUUGCCCCCACUCAAGCAGGGAACCCCAAAACCAACGAGGAACGAGCAGGCUGUCCGUUCACUCCUGUGUAAUGGGGGCUAUGGCGGUCCUCCGCCUCCUUCUGGUGUGGGGCAGGCUGCUUGGAGGGCCCAGACCUAGCCACGUCCCAAAGUAGCCGCCUAAGAGGAGUUGGGACCCAGAGGUGUUCCGGCCAUAAUCUCACUUGAUCCUCACCCCAGGGCCUCAGAUGAACGGUCCCACAUCCCACGGGUGCUAGGACAGACUCUCGACCCUGUGUUCUCUCAGCUGUCACCCCUCACGCAGUCGUUCAAUACUGACAGAGUGCCUCCUGGGUUUCAGGUACCAGGGGAACCUGGGCCAGCCACAGUCUGUCCCGUCUUGGAGUUUACCAAUUGGGCAAGGGGUGGAGAUGGGCAGACAUUGUAGAUGGCACAGGGAUGAGGAGGGUUCGUGGGAACACCAAAAGGCACUCUGGAGCAGGGCACAAAUCAAGGCCGGCUUCCUGGAGGUGAUGUCAAGCAUGAGUCCCCAGAAAUCGGCCGGGUGAUAGGGCAAGCAGGCCUGACUGGUGGGCAGUAUGAGUAGAGGUGUGCGGGCCAGGCCCGGGGACUGAGCCAUGAUGUUGGACUGUCACGUGUGGGCCAUGAGGGACAGAAAGCUUAAGUGUCAGGGGCCUCCACGCAGACAUUUUGUACUUGUGAUUUUGUCUAUUUCUUAAAGAAGUACCUUUGCGAUUUAGAAAACUUCGAAGCCCGCAGAGCUGAUGGGCCCUGUCAACAGUGGUACCUGUGGCUCAAAGCUGAUCCUGUCAGACCAGGGUUGGGGGGGGUGCUGCUAGGACUGUCUCUGGGCCCUCCCACCUCCUUCUGCUGAGUCAGGC
Ailuropoda melanoleuca (giant panda) is the source of this 1867-nucleotide long non-coding RNA. RefSeq lists it as uncharacterized. The record is from RefSeq and is a predicted model, not a curated record. NCBI's taxonomy places the organism in Eukaryota, Metazoa, Chordata, Mammalia, Carnivora, Ursidae. The transcript is spliced from 3 exons.